CCUACGGGAGGCAGCAGUGAGGAAUAUUGGUCAAUGGGCGAGAGGCUGAACCAGCCAAGUCGCGUGAGGGAAGAAUGUCCUAUGGAUUGUAAACCUCUUUUGUCAGGGAGCAAAGUCACCCACGUGUGGGGGUUGGAGAGUACCUGAAGAAAAAGCAUCGGCUAACUCCGUGCCAGCAGCCGCGGUAAUACGGGGGAUGCGAGCGUUAUCCGGAUUUAUGGGGGUUAAAGGGUGCGUAGGCGGGUGAUCAAGUCAGCGGUAAAAUCGGGGAGCUCAACUCCAUCCAGCCGUUGAAACUGAUGAUCUUGAGUGUGCGAGAGGCAGGCGGAAUGCGUGGUGUAGCGGUGAAAUGCAUAGAUAUCACGAAGAACUCCGAUUGCGAAGGCAGCAUACUGGCGCUCGACUGACGCUGAAGCACGAAAGCGUGGGUAUCGAACAGGAUUAGAUACCCCUGUAGUC
Molecule: ribosomal RNA, 459 nt
Filed under: uncultured bacterium
Lineage: Bacteria
Description: partial 16S ribosomal RNA
Rfam family: Bacterial small subunit ribosomal RNA
Source: RNAcentral